Molecule: ribosomal RNA, 1346 nt
Filed under: uncultured bacterium
Lineage: Bacteria
Description: partial 16S ribosomal RNA
Rfam family: Bacterial small subunit ribosomal RNA
Source: RNAcentral
GACGAACGCUGGCGGCGUGCUUAACACAUGCAAGUCGAACGGAAAGGCCCUGCUUUUGUGGGGUGCUCGAGUGGCGAACGGGUGAGUAACACGUGAGUAACCUGCCCUUGACUUUGGGAUAACUUCAGGAAACUGGGGCUAAUACCGGAUAGGAGCUCCUGCUGCAUGGUGGGGGUUGGAAAGUUUCGGCGGUUGGGGAUGGACUCGCGGCUUAUCAGCUCGUUGGUGGGGUAGUGGCUUACCAAGGCUUUGACGGGUAGCCGGCCUGAGAGGGUGACCGGCCACAUUGGGACUGAGAUACGGCCCAGACUCCUACGGGAGGCAGCAGUGGGGAAUAUUGCACAAUGGGCGGAAGCCUGAUGCAGCAACGCCGCGUGCGGGAUGACGGCCUUCGGGUUGUAAACCGCUUUCGCCUGUGACGAAGCGUGAGUGACGGUAAUGGGUAAAGAAGCACCGGCUAACUACGUGCCAGCAGCCGCGGUGAUACGUAGGGUGCGAGCGUUGUCCGGAUUUAUUGGGCGUAAAGGGCUCGUAGGUGGUUGAUCGCGUCGGAAGUGUAAUCUUGGGGCUUAACCCUGAGCGUGCUUUCGAUACGGGUUGACUUGAGGAAGGUAGGGGAGAAUGGAAUUCCUGGUGGAGCGGUGGAAUGCGCAGAUAUCAGGAGGAACACCAGUGGCGAAGGCGGUUCUCUGGGCCUUUCCUGACGCUGAGGAGCGAAAGCGUGGGGAGCGAACAGGCUUAGAUACCCUGGUAGUCCACGCUGUAAACGGUGGGUACUAGGUGUGGGGUCCAUUCCACGGGUUCCGUGCCGUAGCUAACGCUUUAAGUACCCCGCCUGGGGAGUACGGCCGCAAGGCUAAAACUCAAAGGAAUUGACGGGGCCCCGCACAAGCGGCGGAGCAUGCGGAUUAAUUCGAUGCAACGCGUAGAACCUUACCUGGGUUUGACAUGGAUCGGGAGUGCUCAGAGAUGGGUGUGCCUCUUUUGGGGUCGGUUCACAGGUGGUGCAUGGCUGUCGUCAGCUCGUGUCGUGAGAUGUUGGGUUAAGUCCCGCAACGAGCGCAACCCUUGUUCACUGUUGCCAGCACGUUAUGGUGGGGACUCAGUGGAGACCGCCGGGGUCAACUCGGAGGAAGGUGGGGAUGACGUCAAGUCAUCAUGCCCCUUAUGUCCAGGGCUUCACGCAUGCUACAAUGGCUGGUACAGAGAGUGGCGAGCCUGUGAGGGUGAGCGAAUCUCGGAAAGCCGGUCUCAGUUCGGAUUGGGGUCUGCAACUCGACCUCAUGAAGUCGGAGUCGCUAGUAAUCGCAGAUCAGCAACGCUGCGGUGAAUACGUUCCCGGGGCU